RNAcentral lists this ribosomal RNA (248 nucleotides) under uncultured bacterium. RNAcentral describes it as "partial 16S ribosomal RNA". It matches the Rfam family "Bacterial small subunit ribosomal RNA", at positions 108 to 349 of the family's 1533-position model. The record is from RNAcentral.
GAGUAACACGUAUCCAACCUGCCGUCUACUCUUGGACAGCCUUCUGAAAGGAAGAUUAAUACAAGAUGGCAUCAUGAGUCCGCAUGUUCACAUGAUUAAAGGUAUUCCGGUAGACGAUGGGGAUGCAUUCCAUUAGAUAGUAGGCGGGGUAACGGCCCACCUAGUCUUCGAUGGAUAGGGGUUCUGAGAGGAAGGUCCCCCACAUUGGAACUGAGACACGGUCCAAACUCCUACGGGAGGCUAGCAUG